Molecule: long non-coding RNA, 442 nt
Filed under: Physcomitrium patens
Lineage: Eukaryota; Viridiplantae; Streptophyta; Bryopsida; Funariales; Funariaceae
Description: long non-coding RNA (PPAT_LNC003616)
Source: RNAcentral
UCUUAAAAAAUAUAAAAACUUCUCUACCAGUGGAUAAUAAACAUGCAAUGUGUAGAAAGUAGAUCUUUUAAGAUGCUGCAAUGAUAUUGAGCAAAACCAAUAUUUUAGAAGCUAAUCUAUAUACAAUUGAGCAACACAAUUUGUGCAAGUAAAACACACAAGAAGGAGUGCUACAAUUGCCAUAAGCUGUAAUGCCAUACAAUCAAUUUCUUCCAAUUUUUUGGUAGCCGGAUCAGCCAAUAUGUAUCUAUACUAUGUACUUUUUAUAAUUUUUUUUAUUUUUUCUUCUAGAAUAAGUAUUGUCAAAAUAUGCAAUCUAAUUGUCUGCCCUCACAUUCUUCCAUGGAAUUGCAAAGGAAAGCUGAAAUUUUAGCAAAGAGGUGUUAAUUUAUCAUAGCAUGCAUUAGCUAUGUGGCUUGACUUUUCUCUUGGAAAGCAUGAU